RNAcentral lists this unclassified non-coding RNA (556 nucleotides) under Hevea brasiliensis (rubber tree). The record is from RNAcentral. Lineage: Eukaryota; Viridiplantae; Streptophyta; Magnoliopsida; Malpighiales; Euphorbiaceae.
GAACUCCUGCAUGGCCAGCUUGUUCCCCGCGUGAGAGCCCCCAUUGAUCACGUUGAAGGCCGGGACAGGCAGGAUGAGCUCCGUGUUGCCGGCCAGGUCAGCAAUGUGCCGAUAGAGGGGGACCCCCUUUUCGGCAGCCCCCGCUUUGCAGACGGCCAAAGACACCCCCAGAAUGGCGUUGGCCCCAAAUUUAGAUUUAUUCUCGGUGCCGUCCAUUUCGAUCAUCACUUUGUCGAUCUUCUCCUGCUCCACCACGCUGAUUUUCUUCUCUAUCAGUGCGGGGCCGAUGGUUUUGUUGAUGUGCUCCACUGCUUUAAGCACACCUUUCCCCAGGAAGCGCUUCUUGUCGCCAUCGCGGAGCUCCAAAGCCUCAUGGAUCCCCGUGGAGGCUCCGCUGGGGACGGCGGCACGGAAAUGACCCUUGGCUGUGUGGAGGUCCACCUCCACCGUGGGGUUCCCCCUCGAGUCGAGGAUUUCCCUCGCGUGGAUCUUCUGAAUGGACAUCUCUUCAGGCCCACAAUAUACCGCUUAAUGCUAUGGGGGGGGGUCCUCUCCG